AAUUCUGUUGAGCUCAGACUCAUUAUUUCUAUUCCGCUGCACUGUUUGAAUGUUAAGUUAUCAGGGUUGUGAAACUAAACCUCUUUAGAUCCUUGGGGAUUUCCUCCAUAUGAUGAACUCGUUCUAUGUCAUCAUUAACCAUCUUUAUAAUAAGCCAUUUUAUUUAUCGUAUUUUAUUUCCUCUCAAGCCUGGGCUGUCACAAGUGGUAUCAGAGCCUAGGUUUUCUUUUGCAUCUCUGAUAGCCACAAAUUCUUUAAGACCGAGUCUAGAAUUAUUUUCCUAGACUCCUAUACAUCGCCAACACUCCCAGCUCUCCGUCACACCACCGCCUCAAGGUACGUUUCAUUUAGUAAAUUCAAGAUGUUUGCAAAUUUUCAAAAGUAUUUUUGAAAUUUAUUCAAAUGAAAACGAGGCGCCCUACAAAGAAAAUUUAUUUUGGGACAGACCGAGCCCUUGACGGAUCAGUAGAAAACAGUUGUCGAGAAGGGUUUUCCCGAAUCCCCUUGACCUAACAAGAACGAUUACAUGUUGUGGUCUUAAGUGCCACUACCAAUAAGGAAUGUUUCAAAAGAGUUACAAACCAAUAACCCCACAGAUUGUUGUAAUAACAUAGAAAGCCAGGAGUAUCUAUGAGAUAGAAAUAAGACCACUGAAUUAGGACUUACAAAACUUGAGAAUCACAUAGGACGUUCGAAUGUAGAGUAUGGACCUUAGGCAUUGCUUAAGCCUCUUUUACAUUUUUAUUUAUAGUAUCUGAUAUAGAACUUAAUAUUUUCAGAUGGAACCACCCCAACCACCCCCAAGAUUCCCCGCACUUAGGGAUAUGAUCGAUCAGAUGAGGCACACUUGGGACUUGGAAGAUAGGCUCCGACGGUUUUGGCUGUGUCAAUGGGACCCGGACGAGCCCUUUGGGGCAUUUUUGGGGCGAUUCGUGCACGCUUGGCAGUUUGUGCGGACGAUCGGCGUCACAGACUACGAGGCCGGUCAGCAGCUGAUUCGACAUUUGCCUUUCGGCUGGAGAGACUGGGCGGAUGAGCAGUUGGAUGAUACCUCGACACGACAGCUGUUCACGUCCCGACCCCUCGGGAACUUUGUAUUGUUCAGCUCGCGGAUCUUCAACAGGUGGG
RNAcentral lists this long non-coding RNA (1128 nucleotides) under Salvia miltiorrhiza (redroot sage). RNAcentral describes it as "long non-coding RNA (SMIL_LNC006012)". Lineage: Eukaryota; Viridiplantae; Streptophyta; Magnoliopsida; Lamiales; Lamiaceae. The record is from RNAcentral.